This 372-nucleotide ribosomal RNA is filed under the name uncultured bacterium. Its description in RNAcentral is "bacterial SSU rRNA". It matches the Rfam family "Bacterial small subunit ribosomal RNA", at positions 29 to 430 of the family's 1533-position model. The record is from RNAcentral.
AACGAACGCUGGCGGCAGGCCUAACACAUGCAAGUCGAACGCUCCGCAAGGGGAGUGGCGCACGGGUGAGUAACACGUGGGAACCUACCUUCUGGUACGGAACAACCAAGGGAAACUUUGGCUAAGACCGUAUACGACCUCCGGGUGAAAGAUUGAUCGCCGGAAGAGGGGCCCGCGUCCGAUUAGGUAGUUGGUGAGGUAACGGUUCACCAAGCCUUCGAUCGGUAGCUGGUCUGAGAGGAUGACCAGCCACACUGGGACUGAGACACGGCCCAGACUCCUACGGGAGGCAGCAGUGGGGAAUAUUGGACAAUGGGCGCAAGCCUGAUCCAGCCAUGCCGCGUGAGUGAUGAAGGCCUUCGGUUGUAAGUA